GACGAACGCUGGCGGCGUGCUUAACACAUGCAAGUCGAACGGAAAGGCCCUGCUUUUGUGGGGUGCUCGAGUGGCGAACGGGUGAGUAACACGUGAGUAACCUGCCCUUGACUUUGGGAUAACUUCAGGAAACUGGGGCUAAUACCGGAUAGGAGCUCCUGCUGCAUGGUGGGGGUCGGAAAGCUUCGGCGGAUGGGGAUGGACUCGCGGCUUAUGAGCUUGUUGGUGGGGUAGUGGCUUACCAAGGCUUUGACGGGUAGCCGGCCUGAGAGGGUGACCGGCAACAGUGUCACUGGGAUGCGAGCCGUAGGGCAACGGGAGGCAGGAGUGAAGAACAGUACAAGAUAGGCGGAGGGCUGAUGGAAGGACGCCGGGUGCGGAAUGACGGCCAUCGGGGUGUAAACCGCGUUCGCCUGUAACGAAGCGUGAGUGACGGUAAUGGGUAAAAAGGCACCGGCAAACUACAU
RNAcentral lists this ribosomal RNA (467 nucleotides) under uncultured bacterium. RNAcentral describes it as "partial 16S ribosomal RNA". It matches the Rfam family "Bacterial small subunit ribosomal RNA", at positions 28 to 506 of the family's 1533-position model. The record is from RNAcentral.